GUAACCUUGGCCGAGUGGUUAAGGCGUGUGCCUGCUAAGUACAUGGGCUAUGCCCGCGAGAGUUCGAAUCUCUCAGGUUACG
This is a transfer RNA of Arabis alpina (gray rockcress), 82 nucleotides long. It matches the Rfam family "tRNA". Rfam says of the family: Transfer RNA (tRNA) molecules are approximately 80 nucleotides in length. Their secondary structure includes four short double-helical elements and three loops (D, anti-codon, and T loops). The record is from Rfam. NCBI's taxonomy places the organism in Eukaryota, Viridiplantae, Streptophyta, Magnoliopsida, Brassicales, Brassicaceae.